CCCCAAAAAAAAGAAAGCAAAGCAGGAUGGGAAAAAAAUAAAUCUCCAAUAAGGAUAAUGCAAUAAUGCAUUCCAAACAUUGAAUAUCUAGAGAAUACAUAUAUAAAUAUAUCGAGAUACGUAUGUUUAUAUAUGUCUGGAUCUUAUAGACCCAUUCGCAUUUUGCUCCUGCUCUGAAACACCUUUUAUACGAAAGAUCUGCCUCUCUUCUUUCAUGAACUCUAUCAACAAUCCUAUUUUUUUUUUUUUCCUAAGCACCAAGGUGAGAAAAGAGACUUUCCUCUCGAGGAGAAUGUGCAUCCUUGCCUUGUCCGUGUGGCUCUUCCCACUGCAUCUCCCUUCCCUGUUCCCAAGGCUUUUCAUGCAUCCUUAGGUGUCUUACAGCUGGAAUAAUUCUGCCAGAGGAUGAUGGUGACGUGCCAGGAAAACCCAGGUGUGGUUUCUGAGCGUGUCCCAGGGAAGGCAGACAGCCCAGGUGGAAUAUUUGCUGAUUGCAGAGUUAAUUAUCACAGCACAAUGCCUUUGUAGUGGAUAUUUUUAAUUAGAGUUUAGCCAUUGACAGCCAAAGUUUUGCCAUAUUUUGAUACACCACCUUUUUUUUUUUUUUAAACUGGAAGCUUUUCUUAAAAAAAAAAAACGAACCAAAAAAAAAUUAUAAUUAUUUUAUAAAAUAAGCACAAUCUUAUUUUUAUAAGAAAUGUUGGGGAAGGGAGCUGGUACCAAAAGAAAUGGAGAGGAGCUAUAGGCACAGUGCAAAAUGUAAAAAAUAAAAAUCUCUUGGGAUGUUGGGACAUGGGAGAGCUGCUGUGGGGCUGUGGCACUGUGCCCCCAGCCCAGAGCUUGAUCUGGCCCUGCCUGAGGGGUUUUGUGGGAAAAUAAUGUUGAUUUCCUGUGUUGGCAGGGCAGGAUGGGGGUCCCUGAAGCAUCCUUGUCUCCCUCAAUCCACACAGGGCAGCUGGGGGGAUGCUCUGGUUUGGGGGACACCCCACCAAAUACCCCAAACCCCUCUCUUUGGGUGCUGGGGUAACAUCUGUGCGUCACAGCUGGGUUUGCAGUGUGCGUUUCCAUGCUGGCACAGGCAGGAAAAUCCCCCAAAAUUCAUCCCCAGCCUCUUUCUGCCCUUCCUCUGCCACCCUCUGGGUGCUCUCCACGGGACCCUCAGCCUGCAGAAACACAGAGCUGGAGAGGGGAAAAAUGGGAUAAAAUGUGUAAAGAAAUGUGUAAAGAAAUGGGUAAACACUGCUGAGGAAUGGGGAGGGGGCAGCCCCAUCCCAUUAUUCUGCAUCCAGAACUGGGAUGGAGCCCUAAAAACAGCACCAGUGGCAGGGAACAGGGGGACACAGAGGUGACAUUGGAGCAGGGGGACACAGAGGUGCCAUUUUUUCCCAGUUUUCCCACAGGUGGCCGUGCCCUUGGGGCUGUUCCCCCCUGCAAUAAGGAUCUGUCUGUCUGCACAAAAAUAAUCCUUUCUGUGAAAGGAUCUCCCCAUCAGGGCUGAUGGGAGAGCCCGGUGACUGUGUUGCAAAAAGGAGCAGGAAAAUUAAAAAAAAAAAAAAAAAGGAAAAAAAAAAAAGAAAAAAAAAACUCCAGGAAAAUCGAGCGAAAAAUCCCCGGAAAUUCUUUUGUACCAAUGAAGUUUGUUGUGUGCCUUUUGCAGAACGGCUGGAGGUGACAAUAAAGUGACAGUUGUUUGCAUCA
Zonotrichia albicollis (white-throated sparrow) is the source of this 1698-nucleotide non-coding RNA. The record is from RefSeq and is a predicted model, not a curated record. NCBI's taxonomy places the organism in Eukaryota, Metazoa, Chordata, Aves, Passeriformes, Passerellidae.